CCUACGGGAGGCUGCAGUGGGGAAUAUUGGACAAUGGAGGAAACUCUGACCCAGCAACGCCGCGUGAAUGAUGAAGGUCUUCGGAUUGUAAAGCUCUGUGAUGGGGGAUGAACACAAUGACGGUACCCCAAUAGCAAGCCACGGCUAACUACGCGCCAGCAGCCGCGGUAAUACGUAGGUGGCAAGCGUUAUCCGGAAUGACUGGGCGUAAAGGGGGCGUAGGUGGUUUAGUAAGUUGGCGGUGUAAUUCCGGGGCUCAACCUCGGCGCUGCCGCCAAGACUGUUAGACUAGAGUGCAGGAGGGGUAAGUGGAAUUCCGGGUGUAGCGGUGGAAUGCGUAGAUAUUAGGAGGAACAUCAGGGGCGAAGGCGACUUACUGGACUGUAACUGACGCUGAGGCACGAAAGCGUGGGGAGCAAACAGGAUUAGAUACCCGUGUAGUC
This 443-nucleotide ribosomal RNA is filed under the name uncultured bacterium. RNAcentral's name for it is "partial 16S ribosomal RNA". It matches the Rfam family "Bacterial small subunit ribosomal RNA", at positions 338 to 795 of the family's 1533-position model. The record is from RNAcentral.